RNAcentral lists this ribosomal RNA (302 nucleotides) under uncultured bacterium. RNAcentral describes it as "bacterial SSU rRNA". It matches the Rfam family "Bacterial small subunit ribosomal RNA", at positions 29 to 355 of the family's 1533-position model. The record is from RNAcentral.
AACGAACGCUGGCGGCAGGCCUAACACAUGCAAGUCGAGCGCGCCUUUCGGGGUGAGCGGCGGACGGGUUAGUAACGCGUGGGAAUAUACCCUUUGGUACGGAAUAGCCUCUGGAAACGGAGAGUAAUACCGUAUGAGCCCUUCGGGGGAAAGAUUUAUCGCCAAAGGGAUUAGCCCGCCGGUUAGAUUAGGUAGUUGGUGGGGUAAUGGCCUACCAAGCCUACGAUCUAUAGCUGGUUUUAGAGGAUGAUCAGCAACACUGGGACUGAGACACGGCCCAGACUCCUACGGGAGGCAGCAGU